Molecule: ribosomal RNA, 485 nt
Filed under: uncultured Flavobacterium sp.
Lineage: Bacteria; Pseudomonadati; Bacteroidota; Flavobacteriia; Flavobacteriales; Flavobacteriaceae
Description: partial 16S ribosomal RNA
Source: RNAcentral
CACGGAGUUAGCCGAUCCUUAUCCUCACAGUACCGUCAAGACGCUACACGUAGCGUUGUUUCUUCCUGUGCAAAAGCAGUUUACAAUCCAUAGGACCGUCAUCCUGCACGCGGCAUGGCUGGUUCAGGCUUGCGCCCAUUGACCAAUAUUCCUCACUGCUGCCUCCCGUAGGAGUCUGGUCCGUGUCUCAGUACCAGUGUGGGGGAUCUCCCUCUCAGGACCCCUACCCAUCGUUGCCUUGGUAAGCCGUUACCUUACCAACCAGCUAAUGGGACGCAUGCUCAUCUUUCACCGUUGUGACUUUAAUAGUUCAAUCAUGCGAUCGUACUAUACUAUGAGGUAUUAAUCCAAAUUUCUCUGGGCUGUCCCUCUGUGAAAGGCAGAUUGCAUACGCGUUACGCACCCGCGCGCCGGUCUCUGGUUCCGAAGAACCAUACCCCUCGACUUGCAUGUGUUAAGCCUGCCGCUAGCGUUCAUCCUGAGCC